Molecule: long non-coding RNA, 185 nt
Organism: Papaver somniferum (opium poppy)
Lineage: Eukaryota; Viridiplantae; Streptophyta; Magnoliopsida; Ranunculales; Papaveraceae
Exons: 3
Source: RefSeq, a predicted model, not a curated record
AAACACUGUUCAGAACUGUUAGAGGCAUGAUGUACUACCGACGGGCUUUGAAGCUUCAAGCCUUCCUUGACAUGGCUGAUGAAAGUGAAAUUUUGGAAGGCUACAAGGCAGUCUCAAUUCCAUCAGAGGAAGAGAAAAGGAGCCAGAGGUCCCUCUUUGCUCAACUAGAAGCUAUUGCUGACAUG